RNAcentral lists this unclassified non-coding RNA (255 nucleotides) under Tylopilus sp. 2 CG-2012. RNAcentral describes it as "sequence contains ITS1, 5.8S rRNA gene, ITS2". The record is from RNAcentral. Lineage: Eukaryota; Fungi; Basidiomycota; Agaricomycetes; Boletales; Boletaceae.
AAAAGCUUAGCUACUAGUCGAAAUGAACGCAGGUCAUAGUCUAGGAGAGCAUGUGCACGUCCUUUCUCUUUCCACUCUCACACCUGUGCACCUAUUGUAGGUCCUCGCGAGAGGACCUAUGUCUACCUACACACCCAACGUAUGUCUAUAGAAUGUGAACCAAACCUAUCGAAAAGUGAACGGGAGGAGGUCCUUUCCUAAUAGAGGGGCUUGAGCCUUAUUGAACAGAAGGGUCAACCGACGUCACUUGAUAAA